AUAACGACUCUCGGCAACGGAUAUCUCGGCUCUCGCAUCGAUGAAGAACGUAGCGAACUGCGAUACUUGGUGUGAAUUGCAGAAUCCCGUGAACCAUCGAGUCUUUGAACGCAAGUUGCGCCAGAAGCCUUCGGGUAGAGGGCACGUUUGCCUGGGUGUCACA
Molecule: ribosomal RNA, 163 nt
Filed under: Eucalyptus gittinsii subsp. gittinsii
Lineage: Eukaryota; Viridiplantae; Streptophyta; Magnoliopsida; Myrtales; Myrtaceae
Description: 5.8S ribosomal RNA
Rfam family: 5.8S ribosomal RNA
About the family: 5.8S ribosomal RNA (5.8S rRNA) is a component of the large subunit of the eukaryotic ribosome. It is transcribed by RNA polymerase I as part of the 45S precursor that also contains 18S and 28S rRNA.
Source: RNAcentral